GAUACUUAGCGGCGGACGGGUGAGUAACACGUGGGUAACCUGCCUAUAAGACUGGGAUAACAUUCGGAAACGAAUGCUAAUACCGGAUACGCGGUUUGGUCGCAUGACCGAAUCGGGAAAGAUGGAGCAAUCUAUCACUUAUAGAUGGACCCGCGGCGCAUUAGCUAGUUGGUGAGGUAACGGCUCACCAAGGCGACGAUGCGUAGCCGACCUGAGAGGGUGAUCGGCCACACUGGGACUGAGACACGGCCCAGACUCCUACGGGAGGCAGCAGUAGGGAAUCUUCCGCAAUGGACGAAAGUCUGACGGAGCAACGCCGCGUGAGUGAUGAAGGUUUUCGGAUCGUAAAGCUCUGUUGCCAGGGAAGAAUGCUUGGGAGAGUAACUGCUCUCAAGGUGACGGUACCUGAGAAGAAAGCCCCGGCUAACUACGUGCCAGCAGCCGCGGUAAUACGUAGGGGGCAAGCGUUGUCCGGAAUUAUUGGGCGUAAAGCGCGCGCAGGCGGCCUUGUAAGUCUGUUGUUUAAACUUGGGGCUCAACCCCAAGUCGCAAUGGAAACUGCAAAGCUUGAGUGCAGAAGAGGAAAGUGGAAUUCCACGUGUAGCGGUGAAAUGCGUAGA
RNAcentral lists this ribosomal RNA (620 nucleotides) under Paenibacillus sp. I12B-00788. RNAcentral's name for it is "bacterial SSU rRNA". It matches the Rfam family "Bacterial small subunit ribosomal RNA", at positions 87 to 694 of the family's 1533-position model. The record is from RNAcentral. Lineage: Bacteria; Bacillati; Bacillota; Bacilli; Caryophanales; Paenibacillaceae.